This 375-nucleotide RNase P RNA is filed under the name bovine gut metagenome. RNAcentral describes it as "Bacterial RNase P class A". It matches the Rfam family "Bacterial RNase P class A". From Rfam's summary of the family: Ribonuclease P (RNase P) is a ubiquitous endoribonuclease, found in archaea, bacteria and eukarya as well as chloroplasts and mitochondria. Its best characterised activity is the generation of mature 5'-ends of tRNAs by cleaving the 5'-leader elements of precursor-tRNAs. The record is from RNAcentral.
CAGACAGUCGCGCAGGCAGGCCGAAAGGCCGUUUGUGAGGAAAGUCCGGGCUCCGCAGGGCAAGGAUAACGGGUAACGCCCGCCGAGAGCGAUCUCAGGAAAAGUGCAACAGAAAUAGACUGCCUUUCGUGUGCGCCAUAAAAAGCGCAUCGUUGGGCGAUGGUGGAAAGGUGCGGUAAGAGCGCACCCGACGGCGUGGAAGCGUCCGUCGCUGUAAACUCUAUCCGGAGCAACACCGGUAUGGGAGCGCAGGGGUAACUAGCCGAACCCCGAAAGGCCGGCCCGGCCGCUCCCGGGGUGGCUGGAUCGCGGCGGUAACGCCGCGGCUAGAUAGAUGACUGUCAAAUACAGAACCCGGCUUACAGUUUUGCUCGU